Cervus hanglu yarkandensis (Yarkand deer) is the source of this 107-nucleotide small nuclear RNA. NCBI's taxonomy places the organism in Eukaryota, Metazoa, Chordata, Mammalia, Artiodactyla, Cervidae. The record is from Ensembl.
GUGCUCAAUUCGGCAACACAUAUACUAAAAUUGGAAUGAUACAGAGAAGAUUAGCAUGGCCCUUGCCAAAGGAUGACACGCAAGUUCAUGAAACGGUCCAUAUUUUU